UGACUCAUGCCGCUCUGGUGGCCUAGUGGUUAGGGCGUCUGCCUCAGAUGCGGGAGGACGCUGGUUCGAACCAGGGCUGAGUCAU
Non-coding RNA from Potamilus streckersoni, 85 nucleotides. NCBI's taxonomy places the organism in Eukaryota, Metazoa, Mollusca, Bivalvia, Unionida, Unionidae. The record is from the annotation of a GenBank genome assembly.